Mugil cephalus (flathead mullet) is the source of this 192-nucleotide small nuclear RNA. RefSeq annotates it as U2 spliceosomal RNA. NCBI's taxonomy places the organism in Eukaryota, Metazoa, Chordata, Actinopteri, Mugiliformes, Mugilidae. The transcript has a single exon. The record is from RefSeq and is a predicted model, not a curated record.
AUCGCUUCUCGGCCUUUUGGCUAAGAUCAAGUGUAAUUAUCUGUUCUUAUCAGUUUAAAAUCUGAUACGUCCUCUAUCGAGGACCAUAUAUUAAGUUGAUUUUGGGUUUGGGAGAUGGAGCAAGGGCUUGCACUCUCCACUUCCACGCAAUCGACCUGGUAUUGCAGUACCUCUGGGAGCGGUGCACUCUUA